RNAcentral lists this ribosomal RNA (324 nucleotides) under uncultured soil bacterium. RNAcentral's name for it is "bacterial SSU rRNA". It matches the Rfam family "Bacterial small subunit ribosomal RNA", at positions 26 to 353 of the family's 1533-position model. The record is from RNAcentral.
AGAUUGAACGCUGGCGGCAUGCCUUACACAUGCAAGUCGAACGGCAGCACGGGAGCAAUCCUGGUGGCGAGUGGCGAACGGGUGAGUAAUACAUCGGAACGUGCCCAAUCGUGGGGGAUAACGCAGCGAAAGCUGUGCUAAUACCGCAUAAGAUCUACGGAUGAAAGCAGGGGAUCGCAAGACCUUGCGCGAAUGGAGCGGCCGAUGGCAGAUUAGGUAGUUGGUGAGGUAAAGGCUCACCAAGCCUUCGAUCUGUAGCUGGUCUGAGAGGACGACCAGCCACACUGGGACUGAGACACGGCCCAGACUCCUAGGGAGGCAGCA